CUGCCUCGUCGAUGGACCACAAGCAUCCACGUUCUACAAGGCCGGAGUAGAGGAGGUCUCGGCCUUACCAUCAGUAUCCCACGUGAACUCGAGAAUGAUAGCAAGUUUGCGUGGGAUUCUGAUGGUGAGGCCGAGACCUCCUCUGCUCCGGCCUUGAGGAACGUGGAUGCUACACACCUGUCGACGAGGCCG
RNAcentral lists this microRNA precursor (192 nucleotides) under Oryza punctata. Its description in RNAcentral is "pre miRNA MIR820". The record is from RNAcentral. Lineage: Eukaryota; Viridiplantae; Streptophyta; Magnoliopsida; Poales; Poaceae.